This is a long non-coding RNA of Hirundo rustica (Barn swallow), 211 nucleotides long. RefSeq lists it as uncharacterized. The record is from RefSeq and is a predicted model, not a curated record. The transcript has 3 exons. NCBI's taxonomy places the organism in Eukaryota, Metazoa, Chordata, Aves, Passeriformes, Hirundinidae.
CUCGGAAGUUGCUUCCCCGGAGUGCCGCCAUCUUUGCUCCUGGUCCCCCGACGGGGCUCCCGCGUGUCUGAGACCUACGAUUUCCUCUUCAAGUUCUUGGUGAUCAGCAGCGCUAGCACCAGCAAAUCUUGCCUGCUGCAGCCCUUCAUCAAGAGCAAGUGAUUUCCAAUUCCCAAACCUUUGCAGGAUGGAGGAGGAGGCUGUGAGGAAG